Molecule: ribosomal RNA, 774 nt
Filed under: uncultured Neocallimastigales
Lineage: Eukaryota; Fungi; Neocallimastigomycota; Neocallimastigomycetes; Neocallimastigales
Description: partial large subunit ribosomal RNA
Rfam family: Eukaryotic large subunit ribosomal RNA
Source: RNAcentral
CGUCUAUAUACGUAUAGCAUAUCAAUAAGCGGAGGAAAAGAAACUAACUAGGAUUCCCUCAGUAACGGCGAGUGAAGCGGGAAGAGCUCAAAUUUGAAAUCUUCAAGGUUCUACCUUGACGAAUUGUAGUUUAAAGAAGUGUUUUCUGUUGGAGUUUUGGUAAAAGUUCUUUGGAAUAGGACAUCAUAGAGGGUGAGAAUCCCGUAUUUGACCAUUAUUUCCAACUUUGUGAUACACUUUCAAAGAGUCGGAUUGUUUGGGAAUGCAGUCCAAAAUGGGUGGUAAAUUUCAUCUAAAGCUAAAUACUGGCGAGAGACCGAUAGCGAACAAGUACCGUGAGGGAAAGAUGAAAAGAACUUUGAAAAGAGAGUUAAACAGUACGUGAAAUUGUCAAAAGGGAAGCGUUUGACACCAGUGUUGUUUUCUCGAAAAUCAAUUAAAAAUGGCGGGAUUUUGUGUUGUAUUGACUUUAUCAGCUUUCUGCACUUUUUUCCUGUCUUUUUUAAUGCACUUUUCGUUUAACAAGUCAACAUCAAUUUCUUUUGUUGUAAAAGGGUCAUUGGAAGGUGGCUUUCUUUUCGGAGAAAGUGUUUAUAGCCUUUGACUUCUGCAAUCGGAGAGAUUGAGGUCUGCAGCGUAGAUCCUUCGGGGUUAGAUACAUUUGUGCUAAGCUAUAGCCUUGUAUAGACAACUUGUUGACUAUGCUCAGUCAUGUAGCUUACUCGCUUAUGCUAUUUUACCUACGCUUAGGAUGUUGACGAUCAGCUGAGCGCG